Non-coding RNA from Acanthosepion pharaonis, 110 nucleotides. Lineage: Eukaryota; Metazoa; Mollusca; Cephalopoda; Sepiida; Sepiidae. The record is from the annotation of a GenBank genome assembly.
UUAUGGCCAUAUCAUGUUGAAACACCAGUUCUCAUAUGAUCACCAAAGUUAAUGUCAAGGCUGGCCAGUACGAAGAUGGGUGACUGCUUGAGAAUACCAGAUGUUGUAAG